UACGUAGGUGGCAAGCGUUGUCCGGAUUUAUUGGGCGUAAAGCGCGCGCAGGCGGUCUCUUAAGUCUGAUGUGAAAGCCCACGGCUCAACCGUGGAGGGUCAUUGGAAACUGGGGGACUUGAGUACAGAAGAGGAAAGCGGAAUUCCACGUGUAGCGGUGAAAUGCGUAGAGAUGUGGAGGAACACCAGUGGCGAAGGCGGCUUUCUGGUCUGUAACUGACGCUGAGGCGCGAAAGCGUGGGGGAGCAAACAGG
RNAcentral lists this ribosomal RNA (254 nucleotides) under uncultured bacterium. RNAcentral describes it as "partial 16S ribosomal RNA". It matches the Rfam family "Bacterial small subunit ribosomal RNA", at positions 524 to 776 of the family's 1533-position model. The record is from RNAcentral.